AGCGAACGCUGGCGGCAGGCUUAACACAUGCGAGUCGAGCGCCCCGCCAGGGGAGCGGCAGACGGGAGAGUAACACGUGGGAACAUACCUUUUGGUUCGGAACAACUGAGGGAAACUUCAGCUAAUACCGGAUAAGCCCUUACGGGGAAAGAUUUAUCGCCGAAAGAUUGGCCCGCGUCUGAUUAGCUAGUUGGUGAGGUAACGGCUCACCAAGGCGACGAUCAGUAGCUGGUCUGAGAGGAUGAUCAGCCUCACUGGGACUGGGAGACGGCCCAGACUCCUACGGAAGGCAGCAGUGGGGAAUGUUGGACAAUGGGGGCAACCCUGAUCCUGCCAUGCCGCGUGAGUGAUGAAGUCCUUAGGGUUGUAAAGCUCUUUUGCCCGGGAAGAUAAUGACGGUACCGGGAGAAUAAGCCCCGGCUAACUUCGUG
RNAcentral lists this ribosomal RNA (431 nucleotides) under uncultured bacterium. RNAcentral describes it as "partial 16S ribosomal RNA". It matches the Rfam family "Bacterial small subunit ribosomal RNA", at positions 29 to 507 of the family's 1533-position model. The record is from RNAcentral.